AAAUGUAAAUAAUAAUAAUUAUUCGUUAAUAUUUUGGUAUUUUUUAUUUAAUUUGUUAAUUAUUUAAUUUUUUACUUUUUAAGUAGGUUCUGUACAAUAUGUUCAUUGUUCACUGUCGUGUGCAGUAUACAAAUUACAAAUUUAAACAGUUCACCUCAAAUUGUCGUAAAAUGUAUCUACAAAGAAUUAAAACCAUUGCAAAAACCAAGUUAAACUUAAUAUGCCAUUUACAAGUUACAACAAUCAUAUUCAAACCUUCAUAACUCAAAUCAUGUACAAUAUUGACAAUCAUGUAUCGAGAAAGAAUUAACACUAUUGAAAAAACAAAGUUGAAAUUUUGCACUACUAUUACUACUAUCUAGUAUCUUCUUUCCACAACAAUCACACUCAAACCUUCAUAACACAAAUUCAGCAAAACAGAUUUUUCAGAACUAAAAUAACAGUGACUAACAUGGACUACUCAACAUCUAUUCUUCAGUUCAUAGUUUCAUACAUCUAUUAUGGAAACUAACCAUAUAUCUACCCAUCAUAAGUACUUUUUACCAUUAAGGUUAUAUUUUGUAAAUUUAUGUAUAUUUGUGUUCUUACUUAUAAUAAUUUUAUAAGUAAUUAAUAUGUUAAUUUUAUUUAUCAACGAUACUUCUUCAACAAUUAUCAAAGUUGUUAGGUAUUCUGUAUUAUACGGGUUUCGCUAAAUAGUUAUUAUUAGAUAUUAAUAUUUACUUCAUUUAUUAUGUAUAAAUUCAAUGUUACCCAAGUACUGAAGUACUACAAUAGUCCAGUUUUAGUAAACCUCUGUAAUGGUAAGCAUUAACAAGUUCAAUGUUAAUUUUCUCUAUUGAAUUACAUAACUACUUACACAGUAUUUCAGAAUGUAAUUACUUAGUUAAAGAAACCAUUAGAAAACUUAGCUUUUUCAGUUAAAUAGUAAAGAAUAUUAUGUUAAGUUAAACUCAUGUCUUAUGUUUAUAAAUAUAUACUAAUUUACCAAUUAUUUUUUUGUUAAAUCACACUCUGUUAACAGUUGACUAAGUCUAAAUCCAACACUAGAUGGCGCUGAACAUAUAAUUGUUUUAAUUAGUUAAAAAAUUUAAUUUAUUUCAUAAUUACUUUAAAAUUAUUGUACACCAAUACACCAUUGUUUAACUUUUAUUCAAU
This is a long non-coding RNA of Acyrthosiphon pisum (pea aphid), 1158 nucleotides long. RefSeq lists it as uncharacterized. The transcript has 4 exons. NCBI's taxonomy places the organism in Eukaryota, Metazoa, Arthropoda, Insecta, Hemiptera, Aphididae. The record is from RefSeq and is a predicted model, not a curated record.